GGGGAUUUAGCUCAGUGGUAGAGCGCUUGCCUAGCAAGCACAAGGCCCUGGGUUCAGUCCCCAGCUCCCCCC
Non-coding RNA from Rattus norvegicus (Norway rat), 72 nucleotides. NCBI's taxonomy places the organism in Eukaryota, Metazoa, Chordata, Mammalia, Rodentia, Muridae. The record is from Rfam.